GAUGAACGCUAGCUACAGGCUUAACACAUGCAAGUCGAGGGACCGGCGCACGGGUGAGUAACACGUAUCCAACCUGCCCUUUACUCGGGGACAGCCUUUCGAAAGAAAGAUUAAUACCCGAUAUAAAGGAUGGGGAUGCGUUCCAUUAGGUUGUGGGGAAGGUACCGGCUAACCAAGCCUUCGAUGGAUAGGGGUUCUGAGAGCAAGGUCCCCCACAUUGGAACUGGGACACGGACCAAACGCCUACGGGAGUCAGCAGUGAGUAAUAUUGGUGAAUGGGCGCUAGCCUGAACCAGCCAAGUAGCUUGAAGGAUGAAGGCUUAUGGGUCGUAAACUUCUUUUAUAUAAGAAUAUGUAUUAUAUGAAUAAGGAUCGGCUAACUCCGUGCCAGCCGCCGCGGUAAUUC
Molecule: ribosomal RNA, 406 nt
Filed under: uncultured bacterium
Lineage: Bacteria
Description: partial 16S ribosomal RNA
Rfam family: Bacterial small subunit ribosomal RNA
Source: RNAcentral